Molecule: long non-coding RNA, 1777 nt
Organism: Helianthus annuus (common sunflower)
Lineage: Eukaryota; Viridiplantae; Streptophyta; Magnoliopsida; Asterales; Asteraceae
Exons: 6
Source: RefSeq, a predicted model, not a curated record
GGAUUUCACCUUCCUAUUGAAUGCUUCGGUUUCUAAUAGAUGAUUCAGUUCCUUCAUUCAUGUUUUAGUUCAUGUUCAAUCGAUUCAUUGCAGAGAUUACUUCAUCUUCCCCUUUAUAAUCCAUCCAACAAACAAAUAUCUUCUUCGUCGCAGAGGACUGGAACCGGUGGUGAUCCGCAAGAAAGCCCCCACCGCCGCCGCUCGUAAGGACGAGAAAGCCAUCAACGCCGCCCGUCGCGCCGGUGCUGAGAUCGAGACCGUACGCAAGGGGACAUGAAGUGGAGGUUAAAGUGGGAACAGAUAUAACACACAACAAUUCCAUCAAAAUCGGCUUCGUAUGUUGCGUUAUCGUCUACAAUUCCAGCCACUCCCUCAACGCAUCCAUACCAACGACGCCGCCCAUUCAACCUAUUGUUAGAUCAGGGUGGAUUUGUAUCAGUGUGUAGAGGUAGUCUUCGGACAGUGGUCAGGUGGUUAAUUAUAUGUUCAAUCCAGCAGGGAAAAAUUAAACAAUAAGGAGGAUAGUCAGGUUGGUUUUCAGGUUUCAAUGUCAUGGCGAUUUAGCAGACCAUGUCUUCUGACCCGUUACCAACCUAGCCCAACCGAUUUGUUCAUCUUACCGCCUCAGGUCUAAACGCUUGAGUUACGCACUUGCAGUUUGUGUGUUUUUUCUUAAGGGUGACUCUUUCAUGUUGUUUCAUUUGUUUUGUGGGUGUUAUUCAGCGGCAAUACAAUGUUUAAAGAGUAAAAGGCUCUAUGAACAAUAGGUUGAACAAAUUGGGCACUUCCACUUAUGUAUUCAUGACCAGAAUACAAAUUUUAGCUAAAUUUAUAAUGCCACCAGAAAGGUUCAUGGAAAUCUUAUAAGUUUGAGAAUUGAGUAGAUAAAUAUGAUCCACCAGAGUAGUUAGCUUGGAACUUCAUUCUAUUUUGUUUAUCCUAAAAGGUGUAUUAGCAACUUUUGUUUCUGCCAAGAAGAUUAGGCAUGCACAAAAAGUCAGGAGGCCAAUUGAAUCAGAUUAAUGCUUUUGUCAACGAGAGAUUGGUUUCAAUGGGUAAAGACAAUUGGGUGUGGGUUCCGGGUCUGGAUGGUGCCUUCUCAGUCGCUUAUUGUCGCUUGUUAUUUUCAAGAUAUUCAGUUCCUUUUCGACCUUUUCACUGGGUUAAAUGGGUACCGAAAAAAACUAAAUAUUUUUUGUUAGCAGGGAGCCCAAGAUAGGUUGCCCACUCUCAAAGUUUUACACAGACGCAAUAUUCACCAUGGGCCGACUCUAUGCAGAAUUUCGGAGAACGUGAUGAAGACGCGGAUCAUCUAUUCAUCUCUUGCUACGUCACAGCAGUAAUAUGGCACAAGGUCAAUGUGUGGUGUAGCAUUCCGCAAAUCUACGCUUUUACAAUGAAUGACCUGUUCGACGUACAUAAAAACUUGGCGAUAUCGAACCAUACGAAAAGGGUGAUACAAAUGAUUAUCUUGGUGGCGUGUUGGGUGAUUUGGAAGGCACGGAACGAUCUAAUAUUUUCGGGUAGUCGGCCAAAGAUAGACAAGAUAUUCAGAGAGUUACAAGCAAUGUCCUUCCUAUAGUUCAAUCAUCGGGCGAAACGAAACAAUACAUAAUGGAGCAAUUGGGUGAAUUUCACUGCUGUGUAAUAAAAAUUGUUGAACUAGGUGGUAAAUGUAAAAUCCGAUAGGGGAGAUGUAUACUUUGUUUUAGCAGCUUGUUAAUCAGUGUAUAAAAAAGUUUGGUGAGAUGAAUGAGAAAAUGUUUGCUCUUUAAAA